RNAcentral lists this ribosomal RNA (484 nucleotides) under uncultured bacterium. RNAcentral describes it as "partial 16S ribosomal RNA". It matches the Rfam family "Bacterial small subunit ribosomal RNA", at positions 30 to 507 of the family's 1533-position model. The record is from RNAcentral.
AUUGAACGCUGGCGGCAGGCCUAACACAUGCAAGUCGAGCGGAUGAAGGGAGCUUGCUCCUGGAUUCAGCGGCGGACGGGUGAGUAAUGCCUAGGAAUCUGCCUGGUAGUGGGGGAUAACGUCCGGAAACGGGCGCUAAUACCCCAUUCGCCCUGAGGGAGAACGUGGGGGAUCUUCGGACCUCACGCUAUCAGAUGAGCCUAGGUCGGAUUAGCUAGUUGGUGGGGUAAAGGCCUACCAAGGCGACGAUCCGUAACUGGUCUGAGAGGAUGAUCAGUCACACUGGAACUGAGACACGGUCCAGACUCCUACGGGAGGCAGCAGUGGGGAAUAUUGGACAAUGGGCGCAAGCCUGAUCCAGCCAUGCCGCGUGUGUGAAGAAGGUCUUCGGAUUGUAAAGCACUUUAAGUUGGGAGGAAGGGCAGUAAGUUAAUACCUUGCUGUUUUGACGUUACCAACAGAAUAAGCACCGGCUAACUUCGUG